AAAUUUAGGAUAGGGAAAAAACUAUUUAAUGGAUGAAGCGAGAACAGCAGGAAGAAAAGGAGGGAAGGUAGUUUUCUAGUACAAGCAUAUUGAGAAGAAUGGAGGACAAAGUUUGCGAAGAGCCAGCUAGAUUAACUAGAACUGGACCGAGAGAAAGUCCUCACACCUGAGUUCCUUUCUCAACUCUCCACCAACUGAACCGGGAUGGAAACAGACUAGUGAAGUUCUUUCAGUUCCCUUAAAGGUACUUUGAGGUCAGCUGGACCAGUGCUACUCAUCACCGCAGUGCAGCUAACUGGACGGCCCACCGGAGGCGUGGACUCCUCGGGAACAGGCAGCUUGCUAUGAGCCCCCGGCCAGGUCAGUGCAUCUCUCUGGCCCUGUUUUCUUAUCCCGACUUUCCCCGCUGAGAAAAUAACGUGGCCGGCCAGAGGCUGGGGGCGCCGCGUGAC
RNAcentral lists this long non-coding RNA (452 nucleotides) under Homo sapiens (human). RNAcentral describes it as "HSALNT0349366". Lineage: Eukaryota; Metazoa; Chordata; Mammalia; Primates; Hominidae. The record is from RNAcentral.